GUUUCUGUAGUGUAGUGGUUAUCACGUUCGGCUAACACGCGAAAGGUCCCUGGUUCGAAACCAGGCAGAAACA
Molecule: non-coding RNA, 73 nt
Organism: Pterocles gutturalis (yellow-throated sandgrouse)
Lineage: Eukaryota; Metazoa; Chordata; Aves; Pterocliformes; Pteroclidae
Source: Rfam